RNAcentral lists this ribosomal RNA (374 nucleotides) under uncultured organism. RNAcentral describes it as "partial 16S ribosomal RNA". It matches the Rfam family "Bacterial small subunit ribosomal RNA", at positions 527 to 896 of the family's 1533-position model. The record is from RNAcentral.
GUAGGUGGCAAGCGUUGUCCGGAAUUAUUGGGCGUAAAGCGCGCGCAGGCGGUUUCUUUAAGUCUGAUGUGAAAGCCCACGGCUCAACCGUGGAGGGUCAUUGGAAACUGGAGAACUUGAGUACAGAAGAGGAAAGCGGAAUUCCACGUGUAGCGGUGAAAUGCGUAGAGAUGUGGAGGAACACCAGUGGCGAAGGCGGCUUUCUGGUCUGUAACUGACGCUGAGGCGCGAAAGCGUGGGGGAGCAAACAGGAUUAGAUACCCUGGUAGUCCACGCCGUAAACGAUGAGUGCUAAGUGUUAGGGGGUUUUCCGCCCCCUUAGUGCUGCAGCUAACGCAUUAAGCACUCCGCCUGGGAGUACGGCCGCAAGGCUG